Zootoca vivipara (common lizard) is the source of this 136-nucleotide non-coding RNA. Lineage: Eukaryota; Metazoa; Chordata; Lepidosauria; Squamata; Lacertidae. The record is from RefSeq and is a predicted model, not a curated record.
UAACAAGUGACAAACUCAAGAUGUUCUGUGAGGGAAUGAAGAGACUCUCUUCGUCUCAAGUUUUUGGUGCAAGAAAAGAAAAGAAGAAAGGAGAAUUCCUUGAUGCUAAGAUCCAAGUUUGGGGAACAACGAAAUU